CGGAGCAGUGUAAAUGCACCGUGAGUGAGGCUGCAGCGAGGGAGAGGACUGCUCAUCAUCCGCCAUUUCACGUUCAGAGAAAAAAAAACUUUACACACGCAGCACGUAGUUUAAAAACUCGACCAGUCGGCUAAAAAGCGAAAAAAAAUAAUAAAACAGAGUCCACCAUACCUCAAAAAUAGAAAACUGAGCGUUGUUUUAACAGGAGAAAAGAAAAUCGCCAACCACCGCUGCUACCAGUGUAAAACGUGGAUGUGGAGUGAAAGUUCUUACUCAACUCUUGGGCUGUGAGUCUAUUCGGUCGGCGAAACGGUAGCGAGUCCGGAACCACAACAGAACAGAGGCAGGCUGGACGGUGAAUAUCAUCAGAAGCACUUUUAUUUGAGUACGACUGGGAGACUACAUUUAGCUGCAGGUAUCACAGAAGAUGGAACCCUCCCCCUCUUCAUAGUAGGCCGAGGGCCCUUCGGCUACUACAAGAGAAGGAGCUGGCUGACCCACCAGUCCCCCAGGAAACCUCUAAGGAGCAGAUCCAAGACUUGGACCACUGCCACCAUUUGUGAACGUGUCGCCGUGUGAAGGCUCUGAAGAGUGGGUUCGCCAGAAAGAGUGAGACGAAUGCUGCCAGGUAAGUUCCAAAAACCCAGUGAAUUUCUUUGUGUUUCCACAGCCGUAACAAACAAUG
RNAcentral lists this long non-coding RNA (685 nucleotides) under Astyanax mexicanus (Mexican tetra). RNAcentral describes it as "lncRNA (ENSAMXG00005023935.1)". The record is from RNAcentral. Lineage: Eukaryota; Metazoa; Chordata; Actinopteri; Characiformes; Acestrorhamphidae.